Molecule: long non-coding RNA, 6959 nt
Filed under: Lynx pardinus (Iberian lynx)
Lineage: Eukaryota; Metazoa; Chordata; Mammalia; Carnivora; Felidae
Source: RNAcentral
GCCAAGGCAAGGCCUGCCGAGGUGGGCAGCCCUAAGACUCCUCCGUCCCCACUUUUCCUCUUUCUCCGGAGUUCCCAGAUUGUGAAGGAGGAACCAGCGCCGGGAGCCAAAAAAGGCGGAAGAAGAAAAGGCCACCCGGGUUUCACCCAGGCUGUGACCUCCGAGGGCCUUCCUAGCCUGGUGAACAUGCCCUGGCCAGGCCACUUGAAAAAAAUCUGACCUAAGACCCCCACCCCAGACGUCCUGAGCCCCCGACCUAUUCUGUUCGUCAGAGUUUGCAGAACUUAGGGGCGGGGGGGGGGGGGGGGGGGGGGGCAGUAAUGGAGUCCCUGGGACAGACCCCCAUGGGCUGAGGCAUAAGGACUUUUGGAAAGGCCGCAGGGGGAAACAAGUGUUUAGUGUUCCAGUUCAGGGUCCCUGCCCUUCCUAUUUCUCAAUAUCGUCCUCCCCCCACUCGUCCCCAACUCCUUGGCCUUCCUGGGUGGAAAAUCUGUGAAAGCCGCUCCUCUCAAGAAGCGUUGGUAUUUUAAGUGGAAGGUAGAGAUCCACUUGGAACUGGUCCCUGUCUCCUUCUCCACCCUAACUUUUGGGGGGAGACUUGUUUUUAAAGUGGGUCUUGGGAGCCUGGGUGGCUCAGUCGGUUAAGCGUCGGACUUCAGCCAGGUCACGAUCUCGCGGUCCGGGAGUUCGAGCCCCGCGUCGGGCCAUGUGCUGACAGCUCAGAGCCUGGAGCCUGUUUCAGAUUCUGUGUCUCCCUCUCUCUGACCCUCCCCCGUUCAUGCUCUGUCUCUCUCUGUCUCAAAAAUAAAUAGACAUUAAAAAAUAAAAAUAAAAAAAUAAAGUGGGUCUGGGUGUCCUCAAGCCCCUCGUGGCAGAGCAGGGGUGUGUUAAAAAAAAAAAGGUUCCUUUAUCAGGCAGCUUAUCUGUGCCACUGUUUUCCUAACGUAUUGCUCUUGGCUUUACCAUGGUUUUCAGGGUACCAGAUAAUCAUGACCUUUUGAGAUAUCCUUCUCUUGACUAGACACCACCCACCUUGCCUGGCUCAUUCUGGAAAAUCUGUCCAGACCUCUCCUGCAGAUGUCAAAGGUGCUUGCCCUCCUCCUCCCCCCCCCACCUUCAGAGUAUGCAAAACUUUCCUUUCUCAAGCCACAACAGUAAACAUUCUACAAAUAUUUGGUGAUUGGAUAAGAAAUGACCAGUUGCAACUUGCUUUUAAAUCCUUUUUAGCGACUCUGUGCCUUUUGAUUGGAGAAUUAAUUACUGAUAAGUAAGGGCUUGCUAACACCAUCCUGCUGUUUUCUGACUGUUUUUGGAGUUCUGUGUUCCUUUCUUUGUCUUUCGUUGGCUUUCUUUGUAGGUGCUUGAUUUUCUCUAGGGGUAUGCAGUGGAUUUGGUCUGUUUAUGCUUGAUGAAUUUACCGUGGGUUUGGGUCUGUGGUUACCAUGAGGGUUACAUAACAUGUGUUGCAGAUAAAACAGAGCGUUUUAUGCUGAAAACUUGGCUCGCUCACAAAAACUUUACCCUUUUACUUACCCCUCAAUGAUUUGUGUUCUCAGUGUCAUAAUUUAUUUCUUUUUAUGAUGUGGGUCCAUGAAAACAGUCUCAUAACUAUAGUUAUUUCUUAACAGUUUUGCCCAUUAAGCCUUUAUGCUAAAGCCAUGGUUACAUAGCACCAUACUCCAGUAUUUGAAUAUUCUGCACUUGACUAUGUAUAUUUACUGUAUAUGUCUUUACCAGGAGGUUUUACAAUUUCAUGUUUUCUUGUUACUAAUUAGCAUCCUUUUGUUUCAUCCCGAGGAACUCUUUUUUCAGCAUUUCUUGUGAGGUAGGUCCAGUGGUGAUGAAUACCCCCAGUUCAUGAUGGUUUGGGAAAGUCUUUAUCUCUCCUUCAUUCCUGAAAGACAAAUUUGCCCUGUAAAGUAAUUUUGGUUUGCAGUUUUUUUCUUUUGCACUUUAAAUAUGUCAUCGCAGUCUCUCCUGGCUCGCAAGGUGUUUGCUGAGAAAUCUAAUAACGUUACGGGGGUUACUUUAUUUGUGAAAAACUCAUUUUCUCUUGCUCCUUUAAAGAUUCUCUCUUUGUGAUUUUAUGCCGUUUUGUUAUUUUGUGGUUUGGAGAAGAUUGUUUUAGGUUGAAAGUGUGGGGUGACUUAAUAGCUUCGUGAACUUGGAUAUCUAAAUUCCUCCCCAUAUUUGGGAAGUUCUCAGAUGUUCUUUCUUUAAACAAACUUUCUGGGGUGCCUGGGUGGCUCAGUCGGUUAAGCGUCCGACUUCGGCUCAGGUCAUGAUCUCACGGUCCGUGAGUUCGAGCCCCGUGUCGGGCUCUGUGCUGACAGCCCAGAGCCUGGAGCUUGUUUCAGAUUCUGUGUCUCCCUCUCUCUCUGACCUUCCCCUGUUCAUGCGCUGUCUCUCUCUGUCUCAAAAAUAAAUAAACAUUAAAAAAAAAUUAAAAAAAAUAAAAAUUAAAAAAAAAUAAACAAACUUUCUGUUCCUUUUGCCCACUCUUCUCCUUUGGAGGGUCCGGCAAUGCACAGAUUAUUUCUUUGCAUGAUAUCCUAUAAUUCAUAUAGGCUUUCUUCACUCUUUUUUUCAUUUUGCUUUUCUGGCCAUAUGAUUUUAAUAGACCUGUAUUGUCUUCACUACUCCUGCUUGUUGCAGUCUCCUGUUGAAGCUCUCUUUGAGUUCUUUAGUGCAGGCAUUGUAGUCUUGGACUCUAGGAUUUCUGCUUGACUUAUUAUAAUGUUUUCUGUUCCUUUGUUGAACAUCUCGUUUUGUCUAUGCAUUGUUUUUUGAAUUUUCUUUCGUUGUCUAUCUGUGUUUUCUUAGAGUUCACUGGAUUUCUUUAGGAGGAUUCUUCUGAAUUCCUCGUCAGACAGUCCAUAGAUCUCCAUUUAUUUAGGGUCCAUCAUUGAAAUUUUAUCAGUUUCCUUUGGAGAUGGUGUCAUGUUUCCUUGCUUAUUCAUGAUUACUGUGGCCUUGUAUUGGUGUCUGUACAUUUGAGGAUAUAGGCACCUCUCCAGUCUUCACAAACUAGUGUUGGAAGGCCAGCCUUUCACUACUCAGCUUGUCCAGAGAUUCGGGUGGGCAGUCUAGUGUUAUCCAGGGGUGGGCUUGUUAUUGGAGUCCUUGGGUGACCUGAUGCUGAAAAUGGUUGUAUGUCUGGACCAGCUGUAUUCACCCUGAUGUUGAGCCCUAGUGGGACCUUGGGUUCAUAGGUGUUGCUCCCAUGGAGCUAGGGUUUGUGGGUAUUGAUUGGGAGCCUGAGUUCAUAGGAGUCACCCAGAGCCAUGGGAGCCAGCUGGAGCUACCUGGGGCCAUAGGAGCCUGGUAGGUGAUGGAGUGGAUCAGGGGCUCGAACUCAUGAGAACAGUGAAAGAUACCUGGAGUUAUGGGGGCUCCCUGUGGCCACUGAGCCACUAGGGGCUACUGGAGCUAGCUGGCAUAAAGGUGGGCCAGGAGCCUCAUUUCCCAGGGGCCCUCUGUGAGGCCGGGGCCAGUGAAGCUGCCUAGAGCGUGUGGCCUGCCUGGGGUCACUGGAACUGGAAGGUUCCAGAGUGAACCAGGGUCUGUUCUCAUGGGAGCGUUGUAGAACCUGGUGCCACGGGAGCUGCCUAGGGCCACGGGUGCUUCCCUGCCUGAGUCAAGGAUUCUGCGUGGGGCUGCUGGAGCCACACGGGGAUGCUGGGGCUGCCAGAUUCCCGGAUGCAAUGAGGGGCCUGGAUUCUUGGGAGCCUGCAGGGAACCCUGCCUUGGCAGCUGUCUGGAGCCGUGGAUGGUGUCUGGGACCUCUGGAUCAGGCAGGUGCUGGAUGAGCUGGUUUCAUGACUCGUGGGAGCCUGCAGGGGAGUCACAGGAGUGGCUUUGGGGCCACUGGAGACAGCAGGUGCCUGGAUGAAAUGACGCCUGGGUUUCCGGGACCCUGCCCGGAUCCUGGUCACUGGAGCUGGCUGGCACUGGUGGGGAGGAGGCCCUAGGUUAGUGGGAACCUGCAGGGAGCCACUUAGACCUUCUGUGACUCAAGCUGCCAUGGUUCAGUUUGAAACCCUGGAAGAACUGGUAAAAAAUGGUUUUGGAUCAUGCUGUUUGUUGAAUACUUCGCCCUCUGAGAGGGGUAGACUGCAUAGGAUUAAAGCUGAAGGAUAAGGAAGAACCCUAUCCCAGCAGACUUGGGGGCCUGGGUGCAUAUUAGUACCUAACAUUUAUUGUGUUCUCUUCCUGGAACCCUGUGAGAUAUUUUAGAUCAACUCUUUCAUGUAAUCUGCAUAAUUAGCCUACAAGACUAGCUCUGUCGCUCCCACUGUAUGAAGAAGUAUGGUGAUCCUAUAGUUUGUCAUCUAAAUAUCAUCUUAAUCAUCUUCAUUUAAGAAGUGAAAAUGACCAGAGGGUUCUGUAGCACAACAGGCAUAAACUGGGACUUCCCUGAGCUGGGAUUUUUGGUCAGUUUCACAAAAGUAAGCUGGAAUCAGAGACAUUGAAUGAGUUAAGCUCGAAAUUGGGAAGUCAAACCCCAAAGUCCGUGCUUCUCCUUAUUACCAUGCUACCACCCAGAAAGAGAGAAGGCUGUAGAGAAGAGAGAACCAAGAGCAAUGUGACAGAAAGAUAACACACGUACUUACUUCCUGUAAGUAGAAUUUCCUUUUAGAAUAGAAUUUCCUGUAAAGAUAAAAAACCCUUCUGACCUUCAGAUAGGCCUUAGCAGAGAAUCAUCCCAUCACACUUGGAAAUGUACAGACAACACUGAAUAUAGUGUCUGGUAUAUUUUGAGCUUUCUUUUCUUUCUACUGGGAUUAUGUAUGGCUCACGCGUGGGCAUUGUAUUUAUGGGAAAAAUUUAACCUCAUGGAACACGUAUUGCACAAUGGGAUAAGAUAUAUAAAUUCUUUUUGUGCUCUUCCAUUUAUUAAAUUAUUUUGAUAACCAAUGAGAAAAAUUACAAACUGGCCUGUGACUGGCCUUUAAAAAGUGUUAACACAUUCAAAAUUCUCUCAUUGUCACUUACAAUUAUAUAGGAGAAUUUGAAAAGUGCUGAAACUCUUUACUUUGUUCUCUGUAUGUUAAAAACUUAGAAACACUGAAAAGUGCUUUUUGCACUUUAAUUCUUGGUGUUUAUGUCUUAAAUUACAGGGUGCUACAUAAAUAUUAUACCUAUAAACCAAUAGCGCUCUUUAUUUUACCCUUUCUUGGCUUUAAAAUUCUGCUUUUAUCCCAGAUUAAAUCACACAGAGUUAAUUUCUGGAACGCUUUAAGCACUCAGCACCCGAUGUCAAGGCUGUUUCUAUACUAUUGAGUUUUAAAAAACAAAAUGUUAAAAAUCCUUAUAGCGUUAGCUACACGGGACUGAUGAAUCCCCAAAAGAACAACUAGGAAUUGACACUGCAAUUUUCCCUUAUUCCAUUUCUCCUCCUUUGUUGGUGUAUCUGUCAAUUUCUUCUUGUAAUUCCAUGAAAUUCUUAUUAUAUAUCCUUUAAGGCUAUGUUAUUAGCUGCAUGCAAAUAAAUUUCAUUCAGGGAUUAAAUCUUUUUUUCCAGUGAGUAGUAACUUUAUUUCACCCUGAAUAUGAUGCUUUUUGCCAUACAAUCUGUUAUAGCUCAGGGUUUCCAAGAGGCACAAACUCCCAUCUAGUUCACGUCUGUAUCCUCGGAGACUGGCAGUGUGUCUCAGAUAUAGCACAUGUUCGAAACGGGUCUGUGGACAUGCCUUCAUUAUUAUAAGACUCCGUCUUACUUGCGUGGUUUCUGUGAACUUUUUGACGAAGACGGGUAAAUUUCUCCAGACGUCUGGAGAGUAAAAAACAGAACAAAGCAAAAAACCCCAAGACUACGUUGACAAACUGUGUGUGACUGACUCACAGAUGAAAUUUGAGUCAAAGCGUGGCCCUAACCUGGUGUUCUUUUACAAACUAGGUUCCGAGGCAUAUAUCUAAAGCAUGGAUUCCAUUUCUCAACCGGCUGUGACCUUGAUCCAUGACCAAGCCCCUUGAGCAGAAUUUUUUCAUAUGAACAGUAAGUAUAAGGAGCAGUUUCACUGCCUAGUGACAAGGUUCAAAUGAGAUAACAUAAAAGUCUUUGCCAGCAUGUGAAGCUCAUAGUAAAUGUUAAAAUAUGUUGUUCUUCCAUUAUAGCUCUAUGGAAAUAAAAAUAAAGUACCAGCAAUAGCUCUGCUACCAGUGUGGGGAAUUCAAAGUGACGUUAAGUUCAUGGUCAGUCUUCUGCUCCUCCCAGCAGGAAGUCAGUGAGCUGUUUAAGUCAAUUGCUGAUACUUCUGUGGAAAUCAUGAUUAGUUGAAUUAAUUAUUCAAAGCGCAUGUGUGAAACAUGUCCUUAUGAGAACAAGCUUGCAAAAGUACACGGUUUAUAACAGAAAAAGUCUAGGUAAUUUGGGACUUACCCAGUUUCCUAAUUUAAAUACAUUCUGAUUCAUUCUUUACAUUGUGACCAGAGAGAUCCUUUCAAUACAGAUAGGAUCAGGUCACGUUCUUGCAUAAAAUCUUUCUAUAAUUCCUCCUCUGCUCUCAGUGUGCAACCCAAACUCCUAACAGUAGGUAAGGCCACAUGAUAGAAUUAUGUCACUGUUUCCUUUCCAUCUUUCAAAUGCCUGCGCCCCAUCUCCCCGACCUUGUUACCAAAAAAUAAAUAAAUAAAAGAAAUCGUACCCUAAAUACUUUUCCAGCUACCGGAUAGCUCCGGACUGGUAGAAGCGUUCCAGAAUGCGCAGUAGUCAAGCCAGAGCUCCGUGGUGUUCACGUCCACUGGAAAUGAGAACAGGAGUCGCCCACUAACGCACUGUCUCUUUAUUCUGUGGUUUCAGAGACCCUGGGUAAACUGUGGUCUGGAAGUAGACGAUUCUCCUGACAUAACAUCAGAAGGUCAGCAGUAGCCUAACACUCCAUCUCCCUGCCUGCCUACAUCAUUAACCUCAGUUCAUCUCAUCACAUAGGCAUUUUAUCGUCUCAACCAUCGCACGA